Molecule: ribosomal RNA, 209 nt
Filed under: uncultured bacterium
Lineage: Bacteria
Description: partial 16S ribosomal RNA
Rfam family: Bacterial small subunit ribosomal RNA
Source: RNAcentral
CGCGUAGGCGGCCUGCUAAGUCGAACGUGAAAUCCCCGGGCUCAACCCGGGAACUGCGUCCGAUACUGGCUGGCUUGAAUCCGGGAGAGGGAUGCGGAAUUCCAGGUGUAGCGGUGAAAUGCGUAGAUAUCUGGAGGAACACCGGUGGCGAAGGCGGCAUCCUGGACCGGUAUUGACGCUGAUGCGCGAAAGCCAGGGGGAGCAAACGG